CAUGCCGCGUGCAGGAUGACGGCCCUAUGGGUUGUAAACUGCUUUUAUAUGGGAAUAAACCCUCGGACGUGUCCGAGGCUGAAGGUACCAUAAGAAUAAGGACCGGCUAACUCCGUGCCAGCAGCCGCGGUAAUACGGAGGGUCCAAGCGUUAUCCGGAUUUAUUGGGUUUAAAGGGUCCGUAGGCGGGAUAUUAAGUCAGUGGUGAAAGCCUGCAGCUUAACUGUAGCACUGCCAUUGAUACUGGUAUUCUUGAGUAUAGUUGAAGUGGGCGGAAUAUGUCAUGUAGCGGUGAAAUGCAUAGAUAUGACAUAGAACACCUAUUGCGAAGGCAGCUCACUAAGCUAUUACUGACGCUAAGGGACGAAAGCGUGGGUAGCAAACAGGAUUAGAUACCCUGGUAGUCCACGCCGUAAACGAUGAUCACUCGCUGUUGGCGAUAUACAGUCAGCGGCCAAGCGAAAGCAUUAAGUGAUCCACCUGGGGAGUACGCUCGCAAGAGUGAAACUCAAA
Molecule: ribosomal RNA, 512 nt
Filed under: uncultured bacterium
Lineage: Bacteria
Description: bacterial SSU rRNA
Rfam family: Bacterial small subunit ribosomal RNA
Source: RNAcentral